GGGGGGGGCGUGCUAUACAUGCAGUCGAGCGGACAGAUGGGAGCUUGCUCCCUGAUGUUAGCGGCGGACGGGUGAGUAACACGUGGGUAACCUGCCUGUAAGACUGGGAUAACUCCGGGAAACCGGGGCUAAUACCGGAUGGUUGUCUGAACCGCAUGGUUCAGACAUAAAAGGUGGCUUCGGCUACCACUUACAGAUGGACCCGCGGCGCAUUAGCUAGUUGGUGAGGUAACGGCUCACCAAGGCGACGAUGCGUAGCCGACCUGAGAGGGUGAUCGGCCACACUGGGACUGAGACACGGCCCAGACUCCUACGGGAGGCAGCAGUAGGGAAUCUUCCGCAAUGGACGAAAGUCUGACGGAGCAACGCCGCGUGAGUGAUGAAGGUUUUCGGAUCGUAAAGCUCUGUUGUUAGGGAAGAACAAGUGCCGUUCAAAUAGGGCGGCACCUUGACGGUACCUAACCAGAAAGCCACGGCUAACUACGUGCCAGCAGCCGCGGUAAUACGUAGGUGGCAAGCGUUGUCCGGAAUUAUUGGGCGUAAAGGGCUCGCAGGCGGUUUCUUAAGUCUGAUGUGAAAGCCCCCGGCUCAACCGGGGAGGGUCAUUGGAAACUGGGGAACUUGAGUGCAGAAGAGGAGAGUGGAAUUCCACGUGUAGCGGUGAAAUGCGUAGAGAUGUGGAGGAACACCAGUGGCGAAG
Molecule: ribosomal RNA, 700 nt
Filed under: Bacillus amyloliquefaciens
Lineage: Bacteria; Bacillati; Bacillota; Bacilli; Caryophanales; Bacillaceae
Description: bacterial SSU rRNA
Rfam family: Bacterial small subunit ribosomal RNA
Source: RNAcentral